UACGGGGGGGGCAAGCGUUGUUCGGAAUUACUGGGCGUAAAGUGUGCGCAGGUGGCCGCGCAAGUCGAGUGUGAGAUCCCCGAGCUUAACUUGGGAAUUGCGCUCGAAACUACGUGGCUCGAGUGUGGCAGAGGAAGGUGGAAUUCCACGUGUAGCGGUGAAAUGCGUAGAGAUGUGGAGGAACACCGAUGGCGAAGGCAGCCUUCUGGGCCAACACUGACGCUCAUGCACGAAAGCGUGGGGAGCAAACAGG
This 253-nucleotide ribosomal RNA is filed under the name uncultured bacterium. Its description in RNAcentral is "partial 16S ribosomal RNA". It matches the Rfam family "Bacterial small subunit ribosomal RNA", at positions 524 to 776 of the family's 1533-position model. The record is from RNAcentral.